RNAcentral lists this long non-coding RNA (406 nucleotides) under Setaria italica (foxtail millet). RNAcentral's name for it is "long non-coding RNA (SITA_LNC003362)". Lineage: Eukaryota; Viridiplantae; Streptophyta; Magnoliopsida; Poales; Poaceae. The record is from RNAcentral.
AGCCUUUGACAUGUGACUUGUGAUGGCCACAUAGCCUAUGUUCAUCUUAGGGGUAUCAGCAAGAGUAUCCGAGGAUUAUCCUAUGGUUGCUACCUUAUCAGCCAUAUCCAUGAAAUUCUGUAUAGAAACCAGACUAUCUCCAAGUUACUCUUUGUAUGAACUUAGGGGGCGUUUGGAUGUCAGGGGCUAAACUUUAGCCCUGUCACAUCACACGUUCAGAUGCUAAUUAGGAGGACUAAAUAUGAGCUAAUUAAAAAACUAAUAGCAGAACCCAUAGGCUAAAUCGCGAGACGAAUCUAUUAAGCCUAAUUAAUCCAUCAUCAGCGAAUGGUUACUCUAGCCCCACAUAGUCAAAUCAUGGACUAAUUAGGCUUAAUAGAUUCGUCUCGCGAUUUAGCCUAGGGGU